AUCCACUUUUAUAUUGCAUUUGAAUUUUGAACUUUCAGUUGUAGAGUGUAAUCAGUGACAGUGUAUAUUGUUUUAGUGCAGUGACUCCAAAGGCAUGCAGAGUGUAAAGUUCAUUAUUAAUUUUGAUCAUUCAUUUAUAUCUAAACAUUUGUUAUUGUAAAAUAUCUGUAGGUGCUUUUCCACCAAAUUUCCAGCAUAUAUAUGUGCUUGUUGGUUUAUAUAUGCCCCAGGGGUAUUCAAAAAAGAAACACUGGUUGCAACAAUGUUGUGUUUUGCAGGGCCAGAUUAAUUAACAUUUCGCGGGGCCUGUCCACCUGUGGCAUUUUAUCAGUGCGGGGACCCAAGACAGCGCCCCCCCCCCUGCAUUUUAAACACUGAAUUCAGAAAGAUUCAAAAACAUAAACAUAUCCUUUUGUAUUGUACGUGUUGAGAAGUUGCUUGAAAUUUGUGUAUUUACAAAAA
Paramuricea clavata is the source of this 462-nucleotide non-coding RNA. The record is from the annotation of a GenBank genome assembly. Lineage: Eukaryota; Metazoa; Cnidaria; Anthozoa; Malacalcyonacea; Plexauridae.